RNAcentral lists this small nucleolar RNA (90 nucleotides) under Octodon degus (degu). Its description in RNAcentral is "Small nucleolar RNA SNORD14 (ENSODEG00000024989.1)". It matches the Rfam family "Small nucleolar RNA SNORD14". Rfam says of the family: U14 small nucleolar RNA (U14 snoRNA) is required for early cleavages of eukaryotic precursor rRNAs. The record is from Rfam by way of RNAcentral. Lineage: Eukaryota; Metazoa; Chordata; Mammalia; Rodentia; Octodontidae.
UCACUAUGAUGAAAGGUCCAAACAUUCGCAGUUUCCACCAGAAUAUUAAGACAUGUUGGUAGUUUAUACCUUCCUUGGAUGUCUGAGUGA